GAUGAACGCUGGCGGCGUGCCUAAUACAUGCAAGUCGAGCGAACGGACGAGAAGCUUGCUUCUCUGAUGUUAGCGGCGGGCGGGUGAGUAACACGUGGAUAACCUACCUAUAAGACUGGGAUAACUUCGGGAAACCGGAGCUAAUACCGGAUAAUAUUUUGAACCGCAUGGUUCAAAAGUGAAAGACGGUCUUGCUGUCACUUAUAGAUGGAUCCGCGCUGCAUUAGCUAGUUGGUAAGGUAACGGCUUACCAAGGCAACGAUGCAUAGACGACCUGAGAGGGUGAUCGGCCACACUGGAACUGAGACACGGUCCAGACUCCUACGGGAGGCAGCAGUAGGGAAUCGUCCGCAAUGGGCGAAAGCCUGACGGAGCAACGCCGCGUGAGUUAUGAAGGUCUUCGGAUCGGAAAACUCUGUUAUUAGGGAAGAACAUAUGUGUAAGUAACUGUGCACAUCUUGACGGUACCUAAUCAGAAAGCAACGGCUAACUACGUG
Molecule: ribosomal RNA, 497 nt
Filed under: uncultured bacterium
Lineage: Bacteria
Description: partial 16S ribosomal RNA
Rfam family: Bacterial small subunit ribosomal RNA
Source: RNAcentral